UCCCCGUUAACCGGGGCUGUCCCCCUAGAGUUCCCGGCAUGACCCGCUGGCAACAUGCGACGGGGGUUGCGCUCGUUGCGGGACUUAACCCAACAUCUCACGACACGAGCUGACGACAGCCAUGCACCACCUGUAUACCGACCACAAGGGGGGCCACAUCUCUGCAGCUUUCCGGUAUAUGUCAAACCCAGGUAAGGUUCUUCGCGUUGCAUCGAAUUAAUCCACAUGCUCCGCCGCUUGUGCGGGCCCCCGUCAAUUCCUUUGAGUUUCGGUCUUGCGACCGUACUCCCCAGGCGGGGUGCUUAAUGCGUUAGCUUCGGCACGGAUGGAGUCGACACCACCCACACCUAGCACCCAUCGUUUACGGCGUGGACUAC
This 377-nucleotide unclassified non-coding RNA is filed under the name uncultured Actinomycetes bacterium. RNAcentral describes it as "uncultured actinobacterium contains 16S-23S intergenic spacer region". Lineage: Bacteria; Bacillati; Actinomycetota; Actinomycetes. The record is from RNAcentral.